Molecule: ribosomal RNA, 497 nt
Filed under: uncultured bacterium
Lineage: Bacteria
Description: partial 16S ribosomal RNA
Rfam family: Bacterial small subunit ribosomal RNA
Source: RNAcentral
GAUGAACGCUGGCGGCGUGCCUAAUACAUGCAAGUCGAGCGAACGGACGAGAAGCUUGCUUCUCUGAUGUUAGCGGCGGACGGGUGAGUAACACGUGGAUAACCUACCUAUAAGACUGGGAUAACUUCGGGAAACCGGAGCUAAUACCGGAUGAUAUUUUGAACCGCAUGGUUCAACAGUGAAAGACGGCCUUGCUGUCACUUAUAGAUGGAUCCGCGCUGCAUUAGCUAGUUGGUAAGGUAACGGCUUACCAAGGCAACGAUGCAUAGCCGACCUGAGAGGGUGAUCGGCCACACUGGAACUGAGACACGGUCCAGACUCCUACGGGAGGCAGCAGUAGGGAAUCUUCCGCAAUGGGCGAAAGCCUGACGGAGCAACGCCGCGUGAGUGAUGAAGGUCUUCGGAUCGUAAAACUCUGUUAUUAGGGAAGAACAUAUGUGUAAGUAACUGUGCACAUCUUGACGGUACCUAAUCAGAAAGCCACGGCUAACUACGUG